Molecule: ribosomal RNA, 119 nt
Filed under: Triticum aestivum (bread wheat)
Lineage: Eukaryota; Viridiplantae; Streptophyta; Magnoliopsida; Poales; Poaceae
Also listed under: 1 other name
Source: RNAcentral
GGAUGCGGCCAUACCAGCACUAAAGCACCGAAUCCCAUCAGAACUCCGAAGUUAAGCGUGCUUGGGCGAGAGUAGUACUAGGAUGGGUGACCUCCUGGGAAGUCCUCGUGUUGCAUUCC